Molecule: ribosomal RNA, 424 nt
Filed under: Fusobacteriota bacterium
Lineage: Bacteria; Fusobacteriati; Fusobacteriota
Description: Fusobacteria bacterium partial 16S ribosomal RNA
Rfam family: Bacterial small subunit ribosomal RNA
Source: RNAcentral
UGAGGAAUAUUGGUCAAUGGGCGAGAGCCUGAACCAGCCAAGUAGCGUGCAGGAUGACGGCCCUAUGGGUUGUAAACUGCUUUUAUGUUGGGAUAAAGUGCGUGACGUGUCAUGCAUUGCAGGUACCACAUGAAUAAGGACCGGCUAAUUCCGUGCCAGCAGCCGCGGUAAUACGGAAGGUCCGGGCGUUAUCCGGAUUUAUUUGGUUUAAAGGGAGCGUAGGCUGUCUAUUAAGCGUGUUGUGAAAUUUACCGGCUCAACCGGUGGCUUGCAGCGCGAACUGGUCGACUUGAGUAUGCAGGAAGUAGGCGGAAUUCAGGGUGUAGCGGUGAAAUGCUUAGAUAUCAUGACGAACUCCGAUUGCGCAGGCAGCUUACUGUAGCAUAACUGUCGCUGAUGCUCGAAAGGGCGGGUAUCAAACAGG